This 28-nucleotide non-coding RNA is filed under the name Rattus norvegicus (Norway rat). Lineage: Eukaryota; Metazoa; Chordata; Mammalia; Rodentia; Muridae. The record is from RNAcentral.
UGCCUCCAUCUUGCUAUGUAGCUGAGGC